This 497-nucleotide ribosomal RNA is filed under the name uncultured bacterium. Its description in RNAcentral is "partial 16S ribosomal RNA". It matches the Rfam family "Bacterial small subunit ribosomal RNA", at positions 28 to 507 of the family's 1533-position model. The record is from RNAcentral.
GAUGAACGCUGGCGGCGUGCCUAAUACAUGCAAGUCGAGCGAACGGACGAGAAGCUUGCUUCUCUGAUGUUAGCGGCGGACGGGUGAGUAACACGUGGAUAACCUACCUAUAAGACUGGGAUAACUUCGGGAAACCGGAGCUAAUACCGGAUCAUAUUUUGAACCGCAUGGUUCAAAAGUGAAACACGGUCUUGCUGUCACUUAUAGAUGGAUCCGCGCUGCAUUAGCUAGUUGGUAAGGUAACGGCUUACCAAGGCAACGAUGCAUAGCCGACCUGAGAGGGUGAUCAGCCACACUGGAACUGAGACACGGUCCAGACUCCUACGGGAGGCAGCAGUAGGGAAUCUUCCGCAAUGGGCGAAAGCCUGACGGAGCAACGCCGCGUGAGUGAUGAAGGUCUUCGGAUCGUAAAACUCUGUUAUUAGGGAAGAACAGAUGUGUAAGUAACUGUGCACAUCUUGACGGUACCUAAUCAGAAAGCCACGGCUAACUACGUG